CCUACGGGAGGCAGCAGUGGGGAAUAUUUCACAAUGGGGGAAACCCUGAUGCAGCGACGCCGCGUGAGUGAAGAAGGAUCUCGGUAUGUAAAGCUCUAUCAGCAGGGAAGAAAAUGACGGUACUUGAUCAAGAAGCCCCGGCUAACUACGUGCCAGCAGCCGCGGUAAUACGUAGGGGGCAAGCGUGAUCCGGAUUUACUGGGUGUAAAGGGAGCGUAGACGGGAGCGCAAGUCUGAAGUGAAAUGCCGGGGCUUAACCCCGGAACUGCAUUGGAAACUGUGCAGCUAGAGUGAAGGAGAGGGAAGUGGAAUUCCUGGUGUAGCGGUGAAAUGCGUAGAUAUUAGGAGGAACACCAGUGGCGAAGGCGGGUUACUGGACUGUAACUGACGUUGAGGCACGAAGGCGUGGGGAGCGAAAGGGAUUAGAUACCCGUGUAGUC
Molecule: ribosomal RNA, 440 nt
Filed under: uncultured bacterium
Lineage: Bacteria
Description: partial 16S ribosomal RNA
Rfam family: Bacterial small subunit ribosomal RNA
Source: RNAcentral